RNAcentral lists this ribosomal RNA (253 nucleotides) under uncultured bacterium. RNAcentral's name for it is "partial 16S ribosomal RNA". It matches the Rfam family "Bacterial small subunit ribosomal RNA", at positions 524 to 776 of the family's 1533-position model. The record is from RNAcentral.
UACGUAGGGGGCAAGCGUUGUCCGGAUUUAUUGGGCGUAAAGAGCGUGUAGGCGGCUUGGCAAGUCCGCUGUGAAAACUCGAGGCUUAACCUCGAGACGUCGGUGGAAACUGCUUGGCUAGAGUCCGGAAGAGGAGAGUGGAAUUCCUGGUGUAGCGGUAAAAUGCGCAGAUAUCAGGAAGAACACCCGUGGCUAAGGCGGCUCUCUAGUACGGUACUGACGCUGAGACGCGAAAGCGUGGGGAGCGAACAGG